CCCUUAGACGUUCUGGGCCGCACGCGCGCUACACUGACGGAGCCAGCGAGUAUAAACCUUGGCCGAGAGGUCUGGGAAAUCUUGUGAAACUCCGUCGUGCUGGGGAUAGAGCAUUGUAAUUAUUGCUCUUCAACGAGGAAUUCCUAGUAAGCGCAAGUCAUCAGCUUGCGUUGAUUACGUCCCUGCCGAUUGUACACACCGCCCGUCGUUUCUUCCGACUGGUACUCAUUGUGAAUUGCGAGGAGAUUCUGUCAAAUCGUUGUAAAUGCUGGGUAUUGGAGGAAGAAAAAGUCGUAACA
This 299-nucleotide ribosomal RNA is filed under the name uncultured eukaryote. RNAcentral describes it as "partial 18S ribosomal RNA". It matches the Rfam family "Eukaryotic small subunit ribosomal RNA", at positions 1470 to 1796 of the family's 1831-position model. The record is from RNAcentral.